CAGCCGCCGCGGUAAUACGUAGGUGGCAAGCGUUGUCCGGAAUUAUUGGGCGUAAAGGGCUCGCAGGCGGUUUCUUAAGUCUGAUGUGAAAGCCCCCGGCUCAACCGGGGAGGGUCAUUGGAAACUGGGAAACUUGAGUGCAGAAGAGGAGAGUGGAAUUCCACGUGUAGCGGUGAAAUGCGUAGAGAUGUGAAGGAACACCAGUGGCGAAGGCGACUCUCUGGUCUGUAACUGACGCUGAGGAGCGAAAGCGUGGGGAGCAAACAGGAUUAGAUACCCGCGUAGUCCCUGUCUCUUAUAC
This 301-nucleotide ribosomal RNA is filed under the name uncultured bacterium. Its description in RNAcentral is "partial 16S ribosomal RNA". It matches the Rfam family "Bacterial small subunit ribosomal RNA", at positions 509 to 807 of the family's 1533-position model. The record is from RNAcentral.